AUGGUGAGUCCAAUACUCAUCCUGAGGAUAAUAAGGCUCUCUAAGAAAUUUACUUCGCAUGAUAAACUAAAUACAACAAGAGAUGGUUAUAUAACACAAUUCUUUAGACGAUCAUUAAUGUUGUCAGGAAAUAUAGAAAUAUGGGAGGUUUCAGCUUUUGAGAAUUUCGAACCUCUUCACUUGGAGACACUAAACAAAAAGAAGUUCUUCUCGGAAACUUUGAAGAACACUUCACUUCUGCGGGCAUGA
This is a non-coding RNA of Vicia faba (fava bean), 249 nucleotides long. The record is from the annotation of a GenBank genome assembly. NCBI's taxonomy places the organism in Eukaryota, Viridiplantae, Streptophyta, Magnoliopsida, Fabales, Fabaceae.